Molecule: ribosomal RNA, 736 nt
Filed under: uncultured Mortierella
Lineage: Eukaryota; Fungi; Mortierellomycota; Mortierellomycetes; Mortierellales; Mortierellaceae
Description: eukaryotic LSU rRNA
Rfam family: 5.8S ribosomal RNA (bases 243-396)
Source: RNAcentral
CUUGGUCAUUUAGAGGAAGUAAAAGUCGUAACAAGGUUUCCGUAGGUGAACCUGCGGAAGGAUCAUUCAUAAUAAAGUGUUUUAUGGCACUUUUUUAAAAAAUCCAUAUCCACCUUGUGUGCAAUGUUUUUUAGAUCUAGCCAAAAUGAUAUUUUGGUUAGGUUUUAUUAUAUUACAUCAACUCUUAUUUAACUUGAUUUGUCUGAAAAAUAUUAUGAAUUUUUUAACUUAAUUCAAAAUACAACUUUCAACAACGGAUCUCUUGGCUCUCGCAUCGAUGAAGAACGCAGCGAAAUGCGAUACGUAAUGUGAAUUGCAGAAUUCAGUGAAUCAUCGAAUCUUUGAACGCAUAUUGCGCUCUCUGGUAUUCCGGAGAGCAUGCUUGUUUGAGUAUCAGUAAACACCCUCAGAGCUUUUUUUUUUCCUUGAUUUUCGAAUCUUGGGGCUCUGGAUUUGAGUGAUCCCAACGUGGUCUUUUUCGAAAGGACAUGGCGGGCCACUUGAAAUACAGGUGCAGCUGAACUUUCUUCUGAGCUAAAGCAUAUUUAUUUAGUCCUGUCAGCACAUGUGCUGCCGGAUUAUUACUUCUGCUGCAGCUUACAUAAAGGUUGACUGUUCAAAUGCUGACUGAUACAGAAUUUUUAGCACAGAAAGCGCAAGCGGAUCUGUGCUGUUAAACUCGAUCUCAAAUCAAGUAAGACUACCCGCUGACUUAAGCAUAUCAAUAAGCGGAGGA